This is a long non-coding RNA of Mastomys coucha (southern multimammate mouse), 248 nucleotides long. RefSeq lists it as uncharacterized. The record is from RefSeq and is a predicted model, not a curated record. Lineage: Eukaryota; Metazoa; Chordata; Mammalia; Rodentia; Muridae. The transcript has 2 exons.
GCUUUGAGAGCAUUUCAGACAGCUUUAAAAGCAGAGGAAACAUCCAAAGAACUUUCUGGAGGCUCCAUCUCCUAGGAGAUGAGCAGUUGGAUCUGCGUCCUCCCUGCAUCUCUCCAGGAUUCUUGGCUAAUUAAUGGUUUUGCAACAUUGAGCUGUGCCCUCCUUUCAGUUGGCUGCCUGGAUGUGCCCAUCAGUACUGACCAAUCGGGCUUGAACUUUGAACAUCAUCUGAUCUGGUAUUUUUAGAA